AUGUCCUUCUCAAAGUCGUCCCGCCAUGUCCGCUCCGUCAGCCUCCCCGGCACCACCUCCUCACACCCGCUCCUCGCCAACCUCCACACCCACAUCGCCGCCAUCCGCGCCUGGAUCAAGGACACCGCAGAAGCAGGCUCUCCCCUCCCGGCCGGCCUAGUCGCCAUCCACGCGCUCCAUGCCGCUCUCGCCGACCUACUCCUCCUCCCUGAGUCUCGCCGCGCCACUAUGAGCGCCAGUGACCGCCUCCUCCACGCCUUCCUCCUCCUCACCGACGCGCACCAGCGCUUCCAGGAGUGCCUCAUGUCGCUUAGGCACGCGGCGGCCGAGUCCCACGCUGCGCUCCGCAGGGGCGAUGCCACCACAACUCUCGCGUCUGCCGCCAGGUCCCAGCGCCGCGCCGAGAAGGUCCUCGCUCGCCUGGCCGCCUCCAUCUCCUCCGUCUCCUCCAAAUGCGCCCGCCCGAACCUCGUCGGCGAGGAUGCAGAGAUGGUCGGUGCGAUGGUGGAGGCAGUCACUGUCAGUGCCGCGGCCUCUGCGGCCGUGUUCUCGGCUGCCGCGUCAAUGUCGUCCCCGGCAUCCUCUAGCAAGAAGAUGGCCAUGUUUAUUCCUAAGUUCGCCACCAGGAAGGCCACCGCUCCGGAGACGGCAGAGGUGGCCAUGGAGAGACUGCAUAUGCUGGAGCGGCGCUUCGGCGAGUGCGAUGAUGCCUGCAACAGUGUGUUCAGGAGCGUCGUGCAGGCUAGGGUUUCACUUCUCAACAUCAUGACGCCCACGAUCUAG
RNAcentral lists this ribosomal RNA (783 nucleotides) under Triticum aestivum (bread wheat). Its description in RNAcentral is "partial small subunit ribosomal RNA". The record is from RNAcentral. Lineage: Eukaryota; Viridiplantae; Streptophyta; Magnoliopsida; Poales; Poaceae.